Molecule: ribosomal RNA, 700 nt
Filed under: uncultured bacterium
Lineage: Bacteria
Description: bacterial SSU rRNA
Rfam family: Bacterial small subunit ribosomal RNA
Source: RNAcentral
GAAACGUCAGCUAAGACCGCAUAGGUGUAGAGAUCGCAUGAACUCUAUAUGAAAAGUGCUACGGGACUGGUAGAUGAUGGACUUAUGGCGCAUUAGCUGGUUGGUAGGGUAACGGCCUACCAAGGCGACGAUGCGUAGCCGACCUGAGAGGGUGACCGGCCACACUGGGACUGAGACACGGCCCAGACUCCUACGGGAGGCAGCAGUAGGGAAUUUUCGGCAAUGGGGGAAACCCUGACCGAGCAACGCCGCGUGAAGGAAGAAGUAAUUCGUUAUGUAAACUUCUGUCAUAGAGGAAGAACGGUGGAUAUAGGGAAUGAUAUCCAAGUGACAGUACUCUAUAAGAAAGCCACGGCUAACUACGUGCCAGCAGCCGCGGUAAUACGUAGGUGGCGAGCGUUAUCCGGAAUUAUUGGGCGUAAAGAGGGAGCAGGCGGCACUAAGGGUCUGUGGUGAAAGAUCGAAGCUUAACUUCGGUAAGCCAUGGAAACCGUAGAGCUAGAGUGUGUGAGAGGAUCGUGGAAUUCCAUGUGUAGCGGUGAAAUGCGUAGAUAUAUGGAGGAACACCAGUGGCGAAGGUGACGAUCUGGCGCAUAACUGACGCUCAGUCCCGAAAGCGUGGGGAGCAAAUAGGAUUAGAUACCCUAGUAGUCCACGCCGUAAACGAUGAGUACUAAGUGUUGGGAGUCAAAUCUCAGUG